Molecule: ribosomal RNA, 292 nt
Filed under: uncultured bacterium
Lineage: Bacteria
Description: partial 16S ribosomal RNA
Rfam family: Bacterial small subunit ribosomal RNA
Source: RNAcentral
GUGCCAGCCGCCGCGGUAAUACGGAGGGUGCAAGCGUUAUCCGGAUUUACUGGGUUUAAAGGGUGCGCAGGCGGAUAUGUAAGUCAGUGGUGAAAUCUCUAGGCUUAACCUGGAAAUUGCCGUUGAUACUAUAUAUCUUGAAUGCUGUGGAGGUAAGCGGAAUAUGUCAUGUAGCGGUGAAAUGCUUAGAUAUGACAUAGAACACCUAUUGCGAAGGCAGCUUACUACGCAGAUAUUGACGCUCAUGCACGAAAGCGUGGGGAUCAAACAGGAUUAGAAACCCUGGUAGUCC